RNAcentral lists this ribosomal RNA (263 nucleotides) under uncultured bacterium. RNAcentral's name for it is "partial 16S ribosomal RNA". It matches the Rfam family "Bacterial small subunit ribosomal RNA", at positions 793 to 1055 of the family's 1533-position model. The record is from RNAcentral.
GUCCACGCCGUAAACGAUGCCGGCUCGUUCUCUGGGGAGGUUCACUCCCUGGGGGGCUUAGCUUACGCGGUAAGCCGGCCGCCUGGGAACUACGGGCGCAAGCCUAAAACUCAAAGGAAUUGACGGGGGCCCGCACAAGCAGCGGAGCGUGUGGUUUAAUUCGACGCAACGCGAACCACCUUACCCAGGCUUGACAUGCCACUGCAAGCGCCUGAAAGGGCGUCGCCUGCGAGGGUGUGGCACAGGUGCUGCAUGGUUGUCGU